AUUGAAACUGAUUCAAUUCUUGAUAAAGCAUCAGCUACAGAAUUUAACUUGCCUGAAAUGUGGACAAUAUUAGUAGAGAAUUGAGCAAUAAGAUCCAGUUGCCUAAUUUGUCUAGGUGAAGCUUUGUCAGGUUUCUGAAGAAAAGCAUAAAUUAAAGGUUUGUGAUCUGUCCUAAUAAUGAGUUGUCGUCCCUCAAGCAAAUAUCUGAAAUAUUUAAUUGCUAAAUAAAUGCUUAAAAGUUCUCUAUCUGAUGCUCCUACAGCGAAAUCAGAAGCAUCACAAGUAAGAAUCAAAGGAACUUGAGGAGCAGGAUGAGAGAGAGUAGUCACACGGAGAAGUUCUUCUUUGCAAUUCUGAAAAGCUGCUUCUGUCUCCAUAGACCAAGGAAUAGUUCUCCUAUCUCUCUUGCGACUGUCCUUCAAAAAGUUUGUUUGAUUCCUUGAUUAGAAACAAGAUAU
Non-coding RNA from Nylanderia fulva, 458 nucleotides. The record is from RefSeq and is a predicted model, not a curated record. NCBI's taxonomy places the organism in Eukaryota, Metazoa, Arthropoda, Insecta, Hymenoptera, Formicidae.